GGUUAAGCGACUAAGCGUACACGGUGGAUGCCUAGGCAAUCAGAGGCGAUGAAGGACGUGCUAAUCUGCGAUAAGCGUCGGUAAGGUGAUAUGAACCGUUACAACCGACGAUUUCCGAAUGGGGAAACCCAGUGCAAUYCGUUGCACUAUCGUUUGAUGAAUACAUAGUCAAACGAAGCGAACCGGGGGAACUGAAACAUCUCAGUACCCCGAGGAAAAGAAAUCAACCGAGAUUCCCCUAGUAGCGGCGAGCGAACGGGGAGCA
RNAcentral lists this ribosomal RNA (265 nucleotides) under Providencia rettgeri. RNAcentral's name for it is "partial 23S ribosomal RNA". Lineage: Bacteria; Pseudomonadati; Pseudomonadota; Gammaproteobacteria; Enterobacterales; Morganellaceae. The record is from RNAcentral.